GAGCAAGUACGGACCUCUCCUCGCAGGCUCCGGUGGGAAAGGCUCCUGGAAGGGCGCGAGCCAGGAAAGUAGAUGAAGUGAAGAGAUGAAGACUGCGUGGGGUAGUUGUUGGAAAAGCUCGGAUCAUCCCCAACCCAGCCCCGUCUUGUCCGGCCCCAAAAGGCCCAUCUCGGCCGAGCUACUCACACUUUGUACGGCAGCCGUGGGUCCGACGUCAGCGUGAUCUUAAAGGAAACCUUCGACCUGAGGAAAAGAGCGGGAGAGAGUCAGGGUCGGGCAGCUGGACCAGGAAUUAUGGCAGUCGAUUGAUGUCAGAGUGGGAUUCAAAGUAGAACUUCAGUGACUCCAAGGAGCACCAAGUCACCAAAAGUUGGCCUUCUGUAUCCAUGAGUUCCAUAUGAGUGGAUUCAACCAACUGUAGAUUGCCAAAAGAUAAAAACAAGCAAGAAAGCAAACAAAUAAAAGUAACAACAAAAUUUAAGAACCCCUUGCAUGGAAGGAUGCUUAUUUCCUCUGGACUGAAAGAUGGCAUCAGAAGUGGGAUCUAAAGUAAAGCUUCUAACAAUCCCCAUGAGCACUGAGUGACCAAGCAAGGUACACGCCAGGCCUGUUCUGUCUGUUGCUCUCACAGAGGAGCUGGGGAUCGUGGAGGUUCAUGACAGGAUGAAAAGAAACCUGAGAAGCACUCUUGAAGAGAGGUUUCUGAAUAACUUUCGAAUCAUAUCAUUUGGACUGGAUGACAGAAACUUCAUCUGCAUUGGCUUCGGCAAAGCAGAAAUUUAUUAGCUUACAAGGCCCCAUCUUGUCCAUGCACCUGUCUGCUUCCUUGGCUUCAGAGCAUUGCCUCCAAGUCCUCUACAGCACAACUUUCCCUUCAGCAUCCAACCUUAUGAUGUACUGGGAUAUUGUGUUGCCCCUCUCCCCUCUCUACCUGUGCUGGGCUUUAAGGCUGACACACCUAUAAACCCCAGGAGUGGAGGGAAGGGAGAGUGGAUUGUCAUUGAGACAUAUGUUCUGCUUACGUGGAGAGUAACUUGAGCAACGUUACCCACCUCUAUGUGGAAACACAGGUUUAUUUAGUAUGUUGAAAUUCCAGACAUAACUAUCUGUUCAGUAGCAGUGGUUCCUAUAAGACAACAACUUCACUGUUCAUUUUGUGCUAGUAGAAUGGAACUUCACGGACCUUGGAGAAGCAUACUCCAAACACUACAAAUGAUGGUUAUACUUUGGAGAGAUGCUAAGACAGCAGAUGCUAAAAUCCAGAUACCUUUUGUGAAUAUGAGGCAUAUCUACUGGGAACACAUCAUAAUAAUCUGUUGAGGUAAACAUUAAAGAUGGUGGCAAUAAGCAGUUGGAGAAAAAGAAAAAUAUCAACAUGCAAGGCA
RNAcentral lists this long non-coding RNA (1385 nucleotides) under Homo sapiens (human). RNAcentral describes it as "long intergenic non-protein coding RNA 571". The record is from RNAcentral. Lineage: Eukaryota; Metazoa; Chordata; Mammalia; Primates; Hominidae.